AUAUUUUAAAGAAUCAUAUUAAAAAAUAGACAAUAACUAGUAAAUGCAAUUGAAUGCACAAUUUCCUAAAUAAUUGUUUAGAAUAUGGUUGGCAGAUAAUGGAAAUAACGGGGCAGUUGAUGGAUUGACAAAAAGUUUGUGCUAUUUAUUUAAUAUACAUACAAUUGGGAAAGUUGAAAAUUAAAACUUCUAUUUACAACCAAAAAGAAACUAAUAAAUUAGGAAAAUUACAUGAAGUAGAUUUUUAGGAAUAUAAACUAGGAUAUUCAGAUGAAAAUAAAACAUUUUAUUAGUCAACAAAAAGCACAUUUAAACAAUGUAAUAUCAGGUUACAUCCAAAAUAAAAUAAACAUAGAAAAUGUACAUAUUAGCAAGAAAUGGUGAAGUGAAAAGUUUAGGUGUUAAUGCUAACAGCAUGAAAUGAUCCAGCCAUUUAGAGAGCAGUUUGUCACUAUUUGGUGAAACUUAACUCCACAAUUUCUUUCCUGGGAAUAUACUUCAUAAAACUCUAGCAUAAUCAUAGAAAUGGACAUGCGUGAGAAUAUUCAUUAGAGUAUUUUAUGUGAUAGCAAAGUCUUUCAAGAACGUAAAUGUUCAUCAGUUCUUAAAAGGAUAGAUAAAAUGUGGCAUACGUGCACCAUGUAACAGUGUAACUUUCAAAAUACAUUUAAAUUGAUUAGUUUUUCAUGGAGCAAUGUUGAUUUAUUUAUAUUUAUUUUUUGAAGACAUGGUCUUUUUUUUUUUUUUCUGAGACGGAGUCUCACUCUGUCGCCCAGGCUCAGUGGCACAAACUCCACACACUGCAAGCUCCGCCUCCCGGGUUCAUGCCAUUCUCUUGCCUCAGCCUCCCAAGUAGCUGGGACUGCAGGCGCCCACCACCAUGCCUGGCUAAUUUUUUGUAUUUUUAGUAGAGACGGGGUUUCACUGUGUUAGCCAGGAUGGUCUCAAUCUCCUGACCUCAUGAUCUGCCCACCUCGACCUCCCAAAGUGCUGGGAUUACAGGCGUGAGCCACCGGGCCCGGCCGAUAUGGUCUAUUUUUUUCAACCAGGCUUGAGUGCAGUGGCGAUCAUGACUUAUGGCUCACUGCAUCACUGUAGCUUUGACCUCCUAGGCUCAAGUGAUCCUCCCACCUCACCCUCCCAAGUAGCUGGGACCACAGGCAUGUACCAGGAUGCCUAGUUAAUUUUUUGGUAUUUUUUGUAGAGAUGGGGUUUUGCCUGUGUUGCCCAGCUGUUCUCAAACCCCUGAACUCAAGUAAUCCGCCCGCCCCGGCCUCCCGAAGGGCUGGGAUUACAGGAAUGUGCCACCGUGUUUGGCUAGAAAUGUUGACAGUUCUAAAGAAAUGUUGAAUAAAAUAAGUGACAAAGAGAACAAACUUUUUAGCACAAUUCAUAAAUGUAUAUUACAGCCAGUACACACACACAAAAUUAACAGUACAUAAUGUUUAUAGAUUUAUAAUUAUGUAAAUAGAUUUAUGAUUAUUGUCAAAGCACAAAAUAAUUACAUAUAGUUCAUUUCUGUUGGGAAAAGGCCAUGUAUAAGUCAUAAUAUGUGCAUAUUGGCAGCCAUUGAUUACAGUGGUAAGAAUUACUUUGAAUUUUGGGUAAUCAUUUUCUCUAAUGGCAUUAUAUUUUCCCCUCAUUGAAGAAUUUUGCUUCAUCCUGCUUAUUUGGGAAAAUAUAUUUUGGGGAGGGAGGGAAUUUUUAAGAGGCAAAGCAAAAAAAUUAUAAUGUCUGAUUAUAGCAUUAUAUUGCUGACACCUUGGGUGAAGUGAAAGUGGAUCUCAAAUCUUAAAGGAAUGUGAACGAAAUGAGUACUUGAACCCCUGUGGAUAGAUGUAGAAAAAUUAAAGGUAUUUGAAAAUUUUAGUAGCUAUGAAAAGUGAUUGCCAUUGUGAAGCCUGCUGUUUUCUUUUAAAACAUGGCAAUAAUGUAUAAAUUAAAUUGCAACAGGAAGUUCAUAUUCUAGAAUACUCAGUUGUUCUGCAUGCAGAGUUGGAUAAAUGGAAAAUAUAUGAUAAUUAUACAGCAUAAGGGGUAAAGAAUUUCUAAUCAGCUUAAAUGUUUUAAAAUUAGCCACUUACAGAAAAAAAGAGCAGUUAAUUUUAAAAAAUCAAGCUAAAAGGAGUUAAUUUCAAGAAAACAGGAUUCAGAUAAGAUAUAAUGGCCUAGAUUAUAAUUUAAUAAAAGUAAAGAGUAUGCUUUUUUAUUAAUAAAUAUGUUUUUAUAAGUUAAAAAGAAAAUGAUUACAGUAGCCACUUUGGUACUUUAAGCUGAAGGCAUUAUGUGACCAUAUAGUGAAGUAGUUUUAAAACCAACCCAAUUUUCCCAUAGAACUGAACGGUUUCUUUUGAAUACACCUAGAAAUGGACUCUGUCAGUCUUGAAAUAUGAGAAAGUUACAUUUGUCUUAUCUGAGUUUCUUUCUCAGGAGACCAACUAGCAGGCCUCCCAAAUAGUAUCAAGGAACUGAAACUUAUCAUUGCAUCUGGACAAUGAGAUGUCAGACUUCUCCCCUAGCAUGAUUGCCUAACCGACCACCUGUUUCCUGUUGACCAACUCUUCCUCAUUACCCCUCCCUAAUUCCUGUUCCUUCAGGUAGUUACAUUUCCGCUAUAUAAAUUCCUAAUUUUAGUUGGUUAGGUAAAUGGAUUUGAGACUGAUCGCCCAUCUCCUCAGCUGCAACUCCUAAUUAAAGCCUCUUCCCUGGCAAUACUCAUUGUCUUAGUGAUUGGCUUUCUGUGCAUGAGUAGCAGCAUUUAAACAGAACCCCUGGAUUUUUGGUUAGUUUCUCCUUACAAAGUGAACAUUACAGAUAUGUAUUAUUAGUGUGGAAUAUGUUAAGAUGAAGAUCACUUCCUCUCUAAAAUAUAUUAACAUUUGAUAACAGUUAUAAAUAUUUCCAAAAUGUUGCUCCUUGAUGUGAAACUUCGAUUACGUAAAUUAAUAGCCUUUAAUACUGACACUCGUCUAGAGUAACAGUUUGACAGUGAUAUUGUCCUAAAUUUUAGGUAGCAGGUUGAAGAUUAAAAUGAUUAAGCAAGUCGUUCAAUAUCCUUGAAAAAGUCUAAAGAACGGAUAAAAGAUUGCAUCAGAGAUUAAAAUAUAAUGAUAAAGGCAAAUUGCCCAGGAAAAAUGUAGGAUGCCCCAGAUGUUUAUUGUCAGAAAUGAAAAAUACAUCAUCUUUGAUUAACACGUACUUAAAGCACUUGUGAACUAACUCACAGCAGCUGAUCCCUAGAAUACUUUGUUACCUGUUACUAUAGGUGCUUACUCAGCUUUUCCUUUUAUUGUAUUCGAGGAUGUUUUUGAACACAGUCCCCAGAGAAUAAAGCGACAGAACCCUUCUCUCUGCUUCAUGGUUAGGACUCUCCUGUUAACUUUACCUAAAGAACUUCAGCUUAGCUGGGCAGGUUCCCUUUGUCCCAGUUAAGUUGGGAACCAGAUUGAGCAUUUAAUAACUGCUUUGGGAUAUUUUUUAUAAGGGAAGGUCUUUCAAAUAAACAUCAAGAUUUGAUGAAGUACAGGUUGUGUGACUACAGCCAAGCAGAUCAUAGGGAUUGAAGAAGGAAAAAAAAUCAGUUACUAUUAUCCUUAGAUAUCAGCAGAAGUCUGUUAAGUCAAAACUAUUUCAUAUUAAGAUUAACAUGGUAUUUUUAUUAUUUGUCUUUAUGUUGACAUUUAGUUUGAUGAUGCAAACCAGAUGUGAGACAAAACUGCUGGUGCCUUAGCCCAAAUUAAGGUAAUGACAAUUGACCUAGUAGCCAUGUUUUUCAAUGUUACAUACUCAGAUAAAAAAAAAAAAAGAAAAUUAUAAGGUCAGUUUCAGUAAGAAAUACCCAUUAUAAAAUAGGGAAUAUAUAUGAAUAUAUGUAUACAUAUAUAUAAUAUAUAUCCAUACAUAUGUAUGCAUAUAUAUAAUCUCAAUACAUUUUAAUAUGCCAUGUGAUGAAAUGAGAUAUACAUAUAAAGAACUUAUGCUUCACACCAAUAGAUGUUUUGAGAAAAAGCACUUUGGAAAGUAUCAAAACAGACAAACUGAUUAUUCAGAAGUGGACAUUUGACAGAUAUUCUCUUGAAAAUGAAUGAAGUGAGCCUAUCACUUUAAAAAAUAAACAGAAUUUUUGCCAAUGAUAAAAUUAGAGCUUUCAAGUACAAAACCUAGUAUUGCAGAAAACUUGUAUCUGCCUUCUUAAAAUUGACAUGUUCUCGAUGCUUAAGGAAUUUUCUGAUGACAUUGGCCAUGAUAUUAACAAUGAACAUGAUCUUGAUGUUGUUUAACCGAAGAUGUCAACAUUUGGAAGACCUCCAACUUUUUUAUUUGGACAUUUUCAUUUGAAUACAUUCAUUCCUGUUGAGCCAAAAACAAUUUGAAAUUUUGUUAAUUAUUUUUAUU
This 4395-nucleotide long non-coding RNA is filed under the name Homo sapiens (human). RNAcentral's name for it is "HSALNT0271868". Lineage: Eukaryota; Metazoa; Chordata; Mammalia; Primates; Hominidae. The record is from RNAcentral.